RNAcentral lists this transfer RNA (60 nucleotides) under [Eubacterium] siraeum. RNAcentral describes it as "tRNA-OTHER". It matches the Rfam family "tRNA". Rfam says of the family: Transfer RNA (tRNA) molecules are approximately 80 nucleotides in length. Their secondary structure includes four short double-helical elements and three loops (D, anti-codon, and T loops). Further hydrogen bonds mediate the characteristic L-shaped molecular structure. tRNAs have two regions of fundamental functional importance: the anti-codon, which is responsible for specific mRNA codon recognition, and the 3' end, to which the tRNAs corresponding amino acid is attached (by aminoacyl-tRNA synthetases). tRNAs cope with the degeneracy of the genetic code in two manners: having more than one tRNA (with a specific anti-codon) for a particular amino acid; and 'wobble' base-pairing, i.e. permitting non-standard base-pairing at the 3rd anti-codon position. RNAcentral also lists the same sequence under 1 other name. The record is from RNAcentral. Lineage: Bacteria; Bacillati; Bacillota; Clostridia; Eubacteriales; Oscillospiraceae.
AGGGGUGUAACUCAGCGGUUAGAGGAAUUUGUGCCGUGGGUUCGAAUCCCACCAUCCCUA